AACGAACGCUGGCGGCAUGCCUAACACAUGCAAGUCGAACGAGACCUUCGGGUCUAGUGGCGCACGGGUGCGUAACGCGUGGGAACCUGCCCUUAGGUUCGGAAUAACUCCCCGAAAGGGGUGCUAAUACCGGAUAAUGUCUUCGGACCAAAGAUUUAUCGCCUUUGGAUGGGCCCGCGUUGGAUUAGCUAGUUGGUAGGGUAAAAGCCUACCAAGGCGACGAUCCAUAGCUGGUAUGAGAGGAUGAUCAGCCACACUGGGACUGAGACACGGCCCAGACUCCUACGGGAGGCAGGAGUGGGGAAUAUUGGACAAUGGGCGAAAGCCUGAUCCAGCAAUGCCGCGUGAGUGAUGAAGGCCUUAGGGUUGUAAAGCUCUUUUACCCGGGAUGAUAAUGACAGUACCGGGAGAAUAAGCUCCGGCUAACUCCGUG
RNAcentral lists this ribosomal RNA (433 nucleotides) under uncultured bacterium. Its description in RNAcentral is "partial 16S ribosomal RNA". It matches the Rfam family "Bacterial small subunit ribosomal RNA", at positions 29 to 507 of the family's 1533-position model. The record is from RNAcentral.